This 253-nucleotide ribosomal RNA is filed under the name uncultured bacterium. RNAcentral's name for it is "partial 16S ribosomal RNA". It matches the Rfam family "Bacterial small subunit ribosomal RNA", at positions 524 to 776 of the family's 1533-position model. The record is from RNAcentral.
UACAGAGGUCUCAAGCGUUGUUCGGAUUCACUGGGCGUAAAGGGUGCGUAGGCGGCGCGGUAAGUCGGGUGUGAAAUCUCGGAGCUUAACUCCGAAACUGCAUUCGAUACUGCCGUGCUUGAGGACUGGAGAGGAGACUGGAAUUUACGGUGUAGCGGUGAAAUGCGUAGAUAUCGUAAGGAAGACCAGUGGCGAAGGCGGGUCUCUGGACAGUUCCUGACGCUGAGGCACGAAGGUCAGGGGAGCAAACAGG